This 233-nucleotide ribosomal RNA is filed under the name uncultured bacterium. Its description in RNAcentral is "partial 16S ribosomal RNA". It matches the Rfam family "Bacterial small subunit ribosomal RNA", at positions 105 to 334 of the family's 1533-position model. The record is from RNAcentral.
CGACGGUGAGUAACACGUAUCCAACCUGCCGUCUACUCUUGGACAGCCUUCUGAAAGGAAGAUUAAUACAAGAUGGCAUCAUGAGUCCGCAUGUUCACAUGAUUAAAGGUAUUCCGGUAGACGAUGGGGAUGCGUUCCAUUAGAUAGUAGGUGGGGUAACGGCCCACCUAGUCUUCGAUGGAUAGGGGUUCUGAGAGGAAGGUCCCCCACAUUGGAACUGAGACACGGUCCAA